This is a long non-coding RNA of Numida meleagris (helmeted guineafowl), 486 nucleotides long. RefSeq lists it as uncharacterized. The record is from RefSeq and is a predicted model, not a curated record. NCBI's taxonomy places the organism in Eukaryota, Metazoa, Chordata, Aves, Galliformes, Numididae. The transcript is spliced from 2 exons.
CGCAGCUCGGGCGCCGAGGGAAGGGGGAGCACGCGAGUGCGAGCCGGCAGCCAAUCCAGCGAGGCGGAGGGCGGGGCCGCGCGUCGCGCUGACCAACCGGGUGGCGCACGUCCGCCUCGCGUGCCCCUAACUGACAGCGCGCGGGAAGCUCCAGCGCGGUUCUCGCUGCGGUGGGGUCCCCGCCCUCCACACUGGUCUCUCUCCUCCGAGAGCCCCGUGGUUUCUGUAGGGAAACCGAGGAUUUCCUCCAGUUCUCCAUGGCAUUCCCCACUUUCUCGUGGCUGGUUCUGGAAGAUUACUGGUUAACCCGAAACUGGCUGUGAUGUGAUAUGGUGAAAGAAAUGAUGGGCACCCAGGAACUGACAGCCAGGCUGGCCGUGCUGGCCCCAUCUCAGCUUGGAAGGAAUUUGGUAGUAAAGCCAAUCUGUGGAUGACAGCUUCCAAUCUCAGUUCUCCAGUGCAUCCUCUGCAAUAAAGGACAUGUCA